RNAcentral lists this ribosomal RNA (741 nucleotides) under Triticum aestivum (bread wheat). RNAcentral's name for it is "partial small subunit ribosomal RNA". Lineage: Eukaryota; Viridiplantae; Streptophyta; Magnoliopsida; Poales; Poaceae. The record is from RNAcentral.
CUUGCCUUCUGUCAAAGAUCUGGCGGUUCAAAGUUCUGGCAGUCAGUUGUCCAACUACUCUCGGUCCUGCGCAUUGGGACUUCCAUCUCAGUUGGAUCUGGGACUGCGACUCUGUUCUGGUUUGACUGUUGGGCUGGCGACGCCCCCUUCGCGGCACGCUUCCUCGACCUCUUCUCCCUUGCUGUCGACCCAUCCAUUUCACUAGAAAGGGCCCUUAUUGACUUAGGGCGCCUCGCUUUCCAGAGGCCGUUCGGUCCCCCGGAGACCGCCGCCUGGCGUGAGUUACUUGAUUGCGUUGCUCUCCAUGAGCUGGUUGUGGAUGCGGGCCCGGACCAGCUUAAGUGGCGUCUUGAGUCGUCAGGCCAAUUCUCCACCAAGUCCCUCUACCAGGCCAUUGCCCCUUCCACCGCCUCCCCCCUCACGGCGAUUUGGUCCAUCCGCCUGCCCCUGAAGAUCCGGAUCUUCAUGUGGCAAUGGAUCCAUGGACGGACCCCGCCAGGGGUGGAGGUCCGCAAGCGAAAUGGCCCUAGGACUGGCCUUUUCUCGCUUUGCGAUGUCCCCGAAGACUCGAUGUCCCCUGGAACUGCUUUAGAGAGGUGGUUAGUGGCAACUGGUGCUACACCAACUUCCCCGACCUAUUCGCCGAACUCCAGGCCACCUCGUUGCCUUCUCGCCACAUUAGGUGGCUUGAGAUUGGCGCGCUUGCGUGGACCCUCUCGACGAUCCGUAAUAGACUUGUGA